RNAcentral lists this ribosomal RNA (429 nucleotides) under Gemmatimonadota bacterium. RNAcentral's name for it is "Gemmatimonadetes bacterium partial 16S ribosomal RNA". It matches the Rfam family "Bacterial small subunit ribosomal RNA", at positions 355 to 776 of the family's 1533-position model. The record is from RNAcentral. Lineage: Bacteria; Pseudomonadati; Gemmatimonadota.
UAGGGAAUCUUCGGCAAUGGACGAAAGUCUGACCGAGCAACGCCGCGUGAGUGAAGAAGGUUUUCGGAUCGUAAAACUCUGUUGUUAGAGAAGAACAAGGACGUUAGUAACUGAACGUCCCCUGACGGUAUCUAACCAGAAAGCCACGGCUAACUACGUGCCAGCAGCCGCGGUAAUACGUAGGUGGCAAGCGUUGUCCGGAUUUAUUGGGCGUAAAGCGAGCGCAGGCGGUUUCUUAAGUCUGAUGUGAAAGCCCCCGGCUCAACCGGGGAGGGUCAUUAGAAACUGGGAGACUUGAGUGCAGAAGAGGAGAGUGGAAUUCCGUGUGUAGCGGUGAAAUGCGUAGAUAUAUGGAGGAACACCAGUGGCGAAGGCGGCUCUCUGGUCUGUAACUGACGCUGAGGCUCGAAAGCGUGGGGAGCAAACAGG